RNAcentral lists this transfer RNA (71 nucleotides) under Camelus bactrianus (Bactrian camel). It matches the Rfam family "tRNA". From Rfam's summary of the family: Transfer RNA (tRNA) molecules are approximately 80 nucleotides in length. Their secondary structure includes four short double-helical elements and three loops (D, anti-codon, and T loops). Further hydrogen bonds mediate the characteristic L-shaped molecular structure. tRNAs have two regions of fundamental functional importance: the anti-codon, which is responsible for specific mRNA codon recognition, and the 3' end, to which the tRNAs corresponding amino acid is attached (by aminoacyl-tRNA synthetases). tRNAs cope with the degeneracy of the genetic code in two manners: having more than one tRNA (with a specific anti-codon) for a particular amino acid; and 'wobble' base-pairing, i.e. permitting non-standard base-pairing at the 3rd anti-codon position. Lineage: Eukaryota; Metazoa; Chordata; Mammalia; Artiodactyla; Camelidae. RNAcentral also lists the same sequence under 2 other names. The record is from Rfam by way of RNAcentral.
GAGGGUGUAGCUCAGUGGUAGAGCGAUGCUUACCAUGCACCAGGUCCUGGGUUCAAUCCCUAGUACCUCCA